CCUACGGGAGGCAGCAGUGGGGAAUUUUGGACAAUGGGCGCAAGCCUGAUCCAGCAAUGCCGCGUGAGUGAAGAAGGCCUUCGGGUUGUAAAGCUCUUUUGUGCGGGAAGAUAAUGACGGUACCGCAAGAAUAAGCCCCGGCUAACUUCGUGCCAGCAGCCGCGGUAAU
This 169-nucleotide ribosomal RNA is filed under the name uncultured bacterium. RNAcentral describes it as "partial 16S ribosomal RNA". It matches the Rfam family "Bacterial small subunit ribosomal RNA", at positions 338 to 524 of the family's 1533-position model. The record is from RNAcentral.